RNAcentral lists this ribosomal RNA (423 nucleotides) under Triticum aestivum (bread wheat). RNAcentral describes it as "partial small subunit ribosomal RNA". The record is from RNAcentral. Lineage: Eukaryota; Viridiplantae; Streptophyta; Magnoliopsida; Poales; Poaceae.
AUGGCAAAAUUUUGGUGGGGGAGUUCUAUUGACAGGAGGUCUCUCCAUUGGAUUGCAUGGGACAAACUUGCUACACCAAAAUGUAACGGCGGAAUGGGCUUUCGAGAUCUUUAGACCUUUAACUUGGCACUGCUAGGGAAGCAUGGUUGGCUCUUCAUGAUGAACCCGAAUUCCCUAUGUGCCAGGGUUAUGAAAGGAAGAUACUUUCCCGACUCAGACUUCAUGCACGCCUCGAUACCGAACUCCUCCUCUGCGACGUGGAGAGCAAUUGUGGCAGGUCAUGAAGCUUUGCAGGCGGGGCUGGUGAAGCGGGUCAGCGAUGGAUCUUCCAUCUCAAUUUGGGAGGACAAGUGGAUCCCUUCUACGGUCACAAUGUCCCCAUUUGUUACAUCCAGCAAGUGCGACAGUACACACUGUCAAUGA